This 71-nucleotide transfer RNA is filed under the name Marmota monax (woodchuck). Its description in RNAcentral is "tRNA.Ala". It matches the Rfam family "tRNA". From Rfam's summary of the family: Transfer RNA (tRNA) molecules are approximately 80 nucleotides in length. Their secondary structure includes four short double-helical elements and three loops (D, anti-codon, and T loops). Further hydrogen bonds mediate the characteristic L-shaped molecular structure. tRNAs have two regions of fundamental functional importance: the anti-codon, which is responsible for specific mRNA codon recognition, and the 3' end, to which the tRNAs corresponding amino acid is attached (by aminoacyl-tRNA synthetases). tRNAs cope with the degeneracy of the genetic code in two manners: having more than one tRNA (with a specific anti-codon) for a particular amino acid; and 'wobble' base-pairing, i.e. permitting non-standard base-pairing at the 3rd anti-codon position. Lineage: Eukaryota; Metazoa; Chordata; Mammalia; Rodentia; Sciuridae. The record is from RNAcentral.
GGGGUUGCGGCUCAGUGGUAGAGUGCUUGCCUAGCAUGCAUGAGGCACUGGGUUCUAUCCUCAGCACCACA